CACUGACUAAUUGGACUUUUCAGUGGUUUAUAUUACACAGUUAUAUACCCUAAAAAACAAUAAGAAGUUUUAAAUCCUCCACAAAAAUGUCUUUUGAAGAAUAUUGCACAAAUGAAUUUCGAUUAAAUGCAUAAGACGAACAGAAUUCUACUCGAGCAACUACUGAGCAUUUAUUAUGUUUUCUUAUAUCCAUCAAAAUCUGAUUGAAAACGGUGUAGAAUUGUCAAACAAAACGUAAAAUAUAUCGAAAUUUAAAGUAAUAUGUGUAACUCUCUUAUUUGGGUAAUAUAGCGUACAGUAGAAAUUUACAUCCUUGUCCAUGUGUGCAGUUGAUGUAUCUUUGAAUUUUGAAACACUGGUUUCUACCUUUUUGACACCAAACAAAGAAUGAUGGAUGUUCUUUUAGAGGAGAACGUCAAGAAACAUGUAUUUUAAUAUAUAGCUUAAUCUGAUAUAACAGUGGCUACAAAAAUCGAUGAAAAAAAAACUAGAGGUCCGCAUUCAAAAAAAUUAGGUUGAUGAAAUCUAAUGAACGAAACGCAGCAUUGCAAAUUGAUCCACAUCAGGAGCAGCAGUAAAGAAUAUCAUCACCCUAUAUACUAUAUAUACACCCUAUAUAUACACAUAUACUUUCCACGAAAUCAAGUACAGAAUAAAAUCAAUUUCUUACAAGGAACUCCGACUUUCGUUUUGAACAAAUUUAAAUUCAAUUCCAUAACAUUAUAUGGAAGUUGGUUAAAAAAAAUUCAACUAUAAUAAGGAAUGACAUGAAGAACUGACUGACUCUAGAUCGAGUUUCAGGACUCUUAAGAAUGAUAGGCAAAAAAAAGCUGAUGAGUGUGCUAGAUAAGGAUCGACAAUUUCCUACAUGGGAUCUGUCCAACCUGUUGGGGCACCAAAAUCUUGGGUCGAUAAAAAAGAAAAAUAUACCUGGGAACAAACAUGGAAAAAAAAUUUAUAAAAAAAUUGUCUGCUUUAACAGAACACCUGCACGAAAUGAGGCUAUAUAAUGGAGACCUUAGCUGCAAGGCCAGUGAAUGCAAAGAGACAGAAAGAGCUUAUCAUAUAUCAUAUCUUAGACCACUGGAUAACCGGAAGCAAGAUUGCUGAAUAUUGUUGAAUUAGGUGCCAUGAAUAGAUGGGACAAAAAACAGUGUUAUCCAUAGACUUGGAAGAAAUUGAUAGGUCGAACAACUCCAAAAAUGUUAUUGAAAACUUUGAUAUUUUUCAUUAUAAGAAUUAUGUUAGAACCUCAUAUAAAAGUAUCGUAAGUUCUAACUAAAAUGUAUGUAAAAUGAUACUGUUACAGUUUAUGUAAAUUAGACAAAGCUUUUCAAUCUCAAAAAUAUUCACCAAACUUA
Long non-coding RNA from Leptinotarsa decemlineata (Colorado potato beetle), 1361 nucleotides. The record is from RefSeq and is a predicted model, not a curated record. NCBI's taxonomy places the organism in Eukaryota, Metazoa, Arthropoda, Insecta, Coleoptera, Chrysomelidae.